This 225-nucleotide long non-coding RNA is filed under the name Fukomys damarensis (Damara mole-rat). Its description in RNAcentral is "lncRNA (ENSFDAG00000029354.1)". The record is from RNAcentral. Lineage: Eukaryota; Metazoa; Chordata; Mammalia; Rodentia; Bathyergidae.
GAAUGUGCCAACAUGAAUGAGCUGUGAGUGCUCUUCAGGGCCGGAAGCCUGAGUGCCUUUGUCAGGGGAGCACAAGCUGUGUCUCAGCAGUUACUCCCAGACAAGUUACCACCUACCGGGUCCUCUUGCUUUCCUGCUAAUCACCUCGACAUGAAAGGAACAAAAAUUUGAAUGUUGAUUUGAAAAUCUGAAGCUCUUCACAGUCUUCUAGACACAGCACGACUG